This 455-nucleotide ribosomal RNA is filed under the name uncultured bacterium. RNAcentral's name for it is "bacterial SSU rRNA". It matches the Rfam family "Bacterial small subunit ribosomal RNA", at positions 340 to 786 of the family's 1533-position model. The record is from RNAcentral.
UACGGAAGGCAGCAGUGGGGAAUAUUGCACAAUGGGCGCAAGCCUGAUGCAGCCAUGCCGCGUGUAUGAAGAAGGCCUUCGGGUUGUAAAGUACUUUUCAGCGGGGAGGAAGGCGGUGAAGUUAAUAGCUUCACCGAUUGACGUUACCCGCAGAAGAAGCACCGGCUAACUCCGUGCCAGCAGCCGCGGUAAUACGGAGGGUGCAAGCGUUAAUCGGAAUUACUGGGCGUAAAGCGCACGCAGGCGGUCUGUCAAGUCGGAUGUGAAAUCCCCGGGCUUAACCUGGGAACUGCAUUCGAAACUGGCAGGCUAGAGUCUUGUAGAGGGGGUAGAAUUCCAGGUGUAGCGGUGAAAUGCGUAGAGAUCUGGAGGAAUACCGGUGGCGAAGGCGGCCCCUGGGACAAAGACUGACGCUCAGGUGCGAAAGCGUGGGGAGCAAACAGGAUUAGGAUACC